This 1300-nucleotide ribosomal RNA is filed under the name metagenome. RNAcentral's name for it is "bacterial LSU rRNA". It matches the Rfam family "Bacterial large subunit ribosomal RNA", at positions 1635 to 2925 of the family's 2925-position model. The record is from RNAcentral.
CACACGACCGUACCGCAAACCGACACUGGUGCGCGAGAUGAGUAUUCUAAGGCGCUUGAGAGAACUCAGGAGAAGGAACUCGGCAAAUUGACACCGUAACUUCGGAAGAAGGUGUGCCUUUAGUAGGUGAACCUGUACAAGGGGAGCCCAAUGAGGUUGCAAAAAAUCGGUGGCUGCGACUGUUUAAUAAAAACACAGCACUCUGCAAACACGAAAGUGGACGUAUAGGGUGUGACGCCUGCCCGGUGCUGGAAGAUUAAAUGAUGGGGUGCAAGCUCUUGAUUGAAGUCCCAGUAAACGGCGGCCGUAACAAUAACGGUCCUAAGGUAGCGAAAUUCCUUGUCGGGUAAGUUCCGACCUGCACGAAUGGCGUAACGAUGGCCACACUGUCUCCUCCUGAGACUCAGCGAAGUUGAAAUGUUUGUGAUGAUGCAAUCUCCCCGCGGAAAGACGGAAAGACCCCAUGAACCUUUACUGUAGCUUUGUAUUGGACUUUGAACAGAUCUGUGUAGGAUAGGUGGGAGGCUUUGAAGUGUGGUCGCUAGAUCGCAUGGAGCCAACGUUGAAAUACCACCCUGGUGUGUUUGAGGUUCUAACCUAGGCCCGUAAUCCGGGUCGGGGACAGUGCAUGGUAGGCAGUUUGACUGGGGCGGUCUCCUCCCAAAGCGUAACGGAGGAGUUCGAAGGUACGCUAGGUACGGUCGGACAUCGUGCUAAUAGUGCAAUGGCAUAAGCGUGCUUAACUGCGAGACUGACAAGUCGAGCAGAUGCGAAAGCAGGACAUAGUGAUCCGGUGGUUCUGUAUGGAAGGGCCAUCGCUCAACGGAUAAAAGGUACUCUGGGGAUAACAGGCUGAUACCGCCCAAGAGUUCAUAUCGACGGCGGUGUUUGGCACCUCGAUGUCGGCUCAUCUCAUCCUGGGGCUGUAGCCGGUCCCAAGGGUAUGGCUGUUCGCCAUUUAAAGAGGUACGUGAGCUGGGUUUAAAACGUCGUGAGACAGUUUGGUCCCUAUCUUCCGUGGGCGCUGCAGAUUUGAGGAAGCCUGCUCCUAGUACGAGAGGACCGGAGUGGACACACCUCUGGUGUAUCGGUUGUCACGCCAGUGGCAUUGCCGAGUAGCUAUGUGUGGAAGAGAUAACCGCUGAAAGCAUCUAAGCGGGAAACUCGUUUCAAGAUGAGAUCUGCCGGGGCCUUGAGCCCCCUAAAGAGUCGUUCAAGACCAGGACGUUGAUAGGUCGGGUGUGGAAGCGCAGUAAUGCGUUAAGCUAACCGAUACUAAUUGCUCGUGCGGCUUGACCAA